CCUGCCCCUAGAGGAGUUUCAGGUGCGGCUGGUGUGGCACAUGUGUGUCAGUAGGUGGCAGAAAGGAGAGAGGCUGUGUCUACUCUCAGUGUUCUGACCUGUGAACACCUGAAGGAUCAGUAACCUAACACU
Small nucleolar RNA from Mastomys coucha (southern multimammate mouse), 132 nucleotides. RefSeq annotates it as small nucleolar RNA SNORA17. The transcript has a single exon. The record is from RefSeq and is a predicted model, not a curated record. NCBI's taxonomy places the organism in Eukaryota, Metazoa, Chordata, Mammalia, Rodentia, Muridae.